AUCCUGCCUGUCUGUACCUGUGAGAAAAUAUUUGGAGUAGUUUAUUUGAAUUGGAGAUUUUGCCUCGUCUGCCUUCUUCUACCCGCACACACCUGUGACAAACUCAAGCUUAGAUUUACCCCCCAGUGUGACUACUAAUGCUUAGAUGAUGAGUAUGGUAGCAAUAUGCCUAAAUUAUGUUGGUGGAGUUGGGGAGGUGGGACGGACCCCAAAACAGCUGAUGCCAGAGCAAGAACUUUGCUUCGCCCAUUUUCAGCGCUGCACUCGUGUUCGGUCAGCAUGAAGGCAUCUGCGUUGCACAGAAGCGCAAGUCUGUGUGUGUUUCCAUGCUGCGCGUCUCUGGAUCCAAGCGCAGAUGAGACAUGACAAGCUCCUUCAUCCUCCCCUCCGCUCUUGCGUUGUGGGGCCAAGCGCUUUGCCUUUCUCAUCUUCAUUCCA
Non-coding RNA from Pimephales promelas (fathead minnow), 438 nucleotides. NCBI's taxonomy places the organism in Eukaryota, Metazoa, Chordata, Actinopteri, Cypriniformes, Leuciscidae. The record is from RefSeq and is a predicted model, not a curated record.